RNAcentral lists this ribosomal RNA (550 nucleotides) under uncultured delta proteobacterium. Its description in RNAcentral is "bacterial SSU rRNA". It matches the Rfam family "Bacterial small subunit ribosomal RNA", at positions 8 to 530 of the family's 1533-position model. The record is from RNAcentral. Lineage: Bacteria; Deltaproteobacteria.
AGACUUUGAUCCUGGCUCAGAAUGAACGCUGGCGGCGUGCCUAACACAUGCAAGUCGAACGAGAAACUCCGGGCUUGCUCGGAGGAGUAAAGUGGCGCACGGGUGAGUAACGCGUGGGUAACCUGCCCCANAAUCUGGGAUAACAUCGCGAAAGCGUUGCUAAUACCGGAUAUCGUCCUUAAAACUGUGGUUUUUGGGAUGAAAGAUGACCUCUCCUCGGAAGUUGUCGUUCAGGGAGGGGCCCGCGUACCAUUAGCUUGUUGGUAGGGUAAUGGCCUACCAAGGCUGCGAUGGUUAUCUGGUCUGAGAGGAUGAUCAGCCACACUGGAACUGAAACACGGUCCAGACUCCUACGGGAGGCAGCAGUGAGGAAUUUUGCGCAAUGGGGGAAACCCUGACGCAGCAACGCCGUUGUGAGUGAAAAAAGCCUUCNGGUCGUAAAGCUCUGUCAAGGGGGAAAAAAUCCUUUCGAUCAAUAGUCAUUAAGGACUGAUGGUACCCCUANAGGAACACCCGCUUACUCCNUGCCNNCAGCCGCGGUAAUACNGAG